This 464-nucleotide ribosomal RNA is filed under the name uncultured bacterium. Its description in RNAcentral is "SSU rRNA". It matches the Rfam family "Bacterial small subunit ribosomal RNA", at positions 26 to 518 of the family's 1533-position model. The record is from RNAcentral.
AGCCUGAACGCUGGCGGCGUGGCUAAGACAUGCAAGUCGCACGGGGCCGCAAGGCCUAGUGGCGAACGGGUGAGUAAUGUAUCGCUAACGUACCCUUCAGUUUGGAAUAGCCGGGGGAAACCCCGGGUAAUACCAGGUGAUAUCACUGUCUCGCAUGGGAUGGUGCUCAAAGGAGUAAUCCGCUGAGGGAGCGGGCGAGUAUCGUAUCAGCUAGUUGGUGAGGUAACGGCUCACCAAGGCGACGACGCGUAGCCGGACUGAGAGGUCGGUCGGCCACAUUGGGACUGAGACACUGCCCAGACUCCUACGGGGGCUGCAGUAACGAAUCUUCCGCAAUGCACGCAAGUGUGACGGAGCGACGCCGCGUGUGGGACGAAGUCCUUCGGGAUGUAAACCACUGUCAGGGUUACCAAGUUCUGAGGAACCCCAGAGGAAGGCACGGCUAACUCUGCGCCAGCAGCCGC